Molecule: unclassified non-coding RNA, 238 nt
Filed under: Rhizophagus sp. (in: glomeromycetes)
Lineage: Eukaryota; Fungi; Glomeromycota; Glomeromycetes; Glomerales; Glomeraceae
Description: partial contains 5.8S ribosomal RNA and internal transcribed spacer 2
Rfam family: 5.8S ribosomal RNA (bases 1-65)
Source: RNAcentral
GUGAAUCAUCGAAUCUUUGAACGCAAAUUGCACUCUCUUCGGAGAGUAUGCCUGUUUGAGGGUCAGUAUUAAUAAAAAUCGGUGUGUUGCUUCUUUGUGACGCUCCGGAGUUUGGGCUAUCUUAACUUUUUUGGUUAAGGGGCUUAAAAUUGACCUUUUUUGCGCAUUUUUAGACGUACAUAAAUUUUUUUUUUAUUUGUUUAUUUUUUAUGCCAAAAACCUUUUAAAUUCGACCAUA